Choloepus didactylus (southern two-toed sloth) is the source of this 624-nucleotide non-coding RNA. The record is from the annotation of a RefSeq genome assembly. NCBI's taxonomy places the organism in Eukaryota, Metazoa, Chordata, Mammalia, Pilosa, Megalonychidae.
UUAAAUUCAGGCUUCUUUGUUUUCUGGAAAAAAUAUUUUCUGGGUGUCAGAGGCAUCAUCCUCAAGAACAUGAAAGCCUUGUGGUUCUUCCUCAUUCUGGUGGCAGCUCCCCGAUGUGUCCUGUCCCAGGUGCAGCUGAAGGAAUCGGGACCUGGCCUGGUGAAGCCCUCACAGACCCUGUCCCUCACCUGCUCUGUCUCUGGAUUCUCUUUGUCCAGCUAUGGUAUGAGCUGGAUCCGCCAGGCUCCAGGAAAGGGGCUGGAGUGGGUUGCUGCGAUAACUGGUGGUGGAAGCACAUACUAUAACCCAACUCUUAAGUCCCGAGUCACCAUCACCAAGGACAACUCCAAAGAUGAAGUCUAUUUAAAGCUGAGUGGCCUGAAAUCUGAGGACACAGCCACGUAUUACUGUGCAAGAGACACAGUGAGAGGAAGUCAGGGGGAGCCCAGACACAAACCUCCCCUGAGUGCACAGGAGGGGCUGGGCUGCAGGGGACACUUGGCACCACAAGGGGGCACUCAGGGUCCACUCCUACUAGCAGGUUCAGAGAGGGGCUGGCAGGAGUUUCCUUACCUUGCCUGGAGUUCCCUUUUCUUGCCUCACAUGAAACCCCAUAACAUGUAA